Pseudophryne corroboree (corroboree frog) is the source of this 851-nucleotide long non-coding RNA. RefSeq lists it as uncharacterized. The transcript has 3 exons. The record is from RefSeq and is a predicted model, not a curated record. Lineage: Eukaryota; Metazoa; Chordata; Amphibia; Anura; Myobatrachidae.
GGAUCCCAUUGCUGGCCUGGGGUCCACAGCGUCCACCCCUCCGUACAGCCAGUCCAAGCAGCAGGAUAUGCUUCCCUCGGUCAACAGCAUACCUCUGCUGCUUCCUUUCUGGCGGAACUUCAAAUGCACGGCCUGCGUGUCUCAGGCAGUCGAUGGAGGGGGAGCCGUAGAACAUGGUGGAAGGAGUAGGAUAAAUUGAUGUCCUCACGCGCGGCAGCGGUGACUGUCCAGUGCUCCCAGUGCCGUUGGGUAACCCAAUGGACUAUGGAAGCCAAGCAGGAGCCAGCAUCCUCAGAUGUCCCUUCCCAAAUACUGAGCAGAAGUUGCGAAUGGCAUAAAACGUCACACUGCUAGACUGGUAGGCCAUUUGCAGUUUGUGGAGGGUUGGGAGGUGGCAGAACGGACCUACAGUAAUUGACUGGUGAAUGUUUUUUUUACAAACCUUGACUUAGAACAAAACAAUACAUAGAGUGAUAUACUCCUGCCACUGUAAAUGGAGCAAAUGGGCAAAUAUUCUAAGUAAAAGUGAAAAAGUCAAUGGCUAUAACCAUCACUUGACUCAAGCAGUUACAGUCAUCAUUUGUGCAGUCAGUAUGCUUUACGUCAUAGGUCCAGGUUCCAACCUAAAGGCCUGUUCUUCAUUGUCAGGUUUGAAACUGUUUUCUAUUUAUGGUUUCGGCAGCAAAAGUUGUCAAACAACAUUCGCUAAUGAACACGAGAUGAGACCUAACCAGGAAUUUAACUUUGUAAAACAUUUCAAAUGCUGAUUAAUUUGCAUACAGUAAUUUUCCUAAAACAUGUUUUUUUCCUCAAACUUUUAACGAUGCUCUGCUGAGAAACUGUAUCAGCGU